UAGGGAGACCUACCCUUGAUAACUCCGAACCAAUUUGAAUUAGGAGUAUUGAGUGGUCACUCUAGGUCGUUCAGGACUUUGAGAUUAGUUUCUAGACUAUGGUUGAGGUUUAUUUCUUAGAUUUAUCCAGAGAUGGAUAAAUCAAAAGAGACUAAACACGGGCUAUUAGCUCAGGUGGUUAGAGCGCACCCCUGAUAAGGGUGAGGUCCCUGGUUCGAGUCCAGGAUGGCCCACUUGUGGGGGUUUAGCUCAGUUGGUAGAGCGCCUGCUUUGCAAGCAGGAUGUCAGCGGUUCGAGUCCGCUAACCUCCACCACGACUGACUGCACCAUUACGGGAUAAAUUCAGCACAUUGUGAGUCGCUUGAGGGAUCAAGCGAGGUCAUAAUCUGCUGGGUGAAAGCCUAGCGAAGAACCUUGAAAACUGAAUACGAGAGAAGUGUAAGGUAGUACACACAGAACAUUCAAAGUUCGUUGAGAGAAGAGUGAAUUUUAUUGGGUUUACCUAAUAAAAGAA
Molecule: transfer RNA, 514 nt
Filed under: Nodosilinea sp. ZJJ01
Lineage: Bacteria; Bacillati; Cyanobacteriota; Cyanophyceae; Nodosilineales; Nodosilineaceae
Description: partial 16S-23S ribosomal RNA intergenic spacer
Rfam family: tRNA (bases 239-311)
Source: RNAcentral